This 305-nucleotide ribosomal RNA is filed under the name uncultured bacterium. Its description in RNAcentral is "bacterial SSU rRNA". It matches the Rfam family "Bacterial small subunit ribosomal RNA", at positions 337 to 634 of the family's 1533-position model. The record is from RNAcentral.
GCCUACGGGGGGCAGCAGUAGGGAAUCUUCCCCAAUGGGCGAAAGCCUGAUGGAGCAACGCCGCGUGGGUGAAGAAGGUCUUCGGAUCGUAAAACCCUGUUGUUAGAGAAGGAAGUGCGUGAGAGUAACUGUUCACGUUUCGACGGUAUCUAACCAGAAAGCCACGGCUAACUACGUGCCAGCAGCCGCGGUAAUACGUAGGUGGCAAGCGUUAUCCGGAUUUAUUGGGCGUAAAGGGAACGCAGGCGGUCUUUUAAGUCUGAUGUGAAAGCCUUCGGCUUAACCGGAGUAGUGCAUUGGAAACU